AGAGUUUGAUCCUGGCUCAGGACGAACGCUGGCGGCGUGCUUAACACAUGCAAGUCGAACGGAAAGGCCCUUCGGGGUACUCGAGUGGCGAACGGGUGAGUAACACGUGGGUGAUCUGCCCUGCACUCUGGGAUAAGCCUGGGAAACUGGGUCUAAUACCGGAUAGGACCGCAUGCUUCAUGGUGUGUGGUGCAAAGCUUUUGCGGUGUGGGAUGAGCCCGCGGCCUAUCAGCUUGUUGGUGGGGUAAUGGCCUACCAAGGCGACGACGGGUAGCCGGCCUGAGAGGGUGACCGGCCACACUGGGACUGAGAUACGGCCCAGACUCCUACGGGAGGCAGCAGUGGGGAAUAUUGCACAAUGGGCGCAAGCCUGAUGCAGCGACGCCGCGUGAGGGAUGACGGCCUUCGGGUUGUAAACCUCUUUCAGUAGGGACGAAGCGAAAGUGACGGUACCUACAGAAGAAGGACCGGCCAACUACGUGCCAGCAGCCGCGGUAAUACGUAGGGUCCGAGCGUUGUCCGGAAUUACUGGGCGUAAAGAGCUCGUAGGUGGUUUGUCGCGUUGUUCGUGAAAACUCACAGCUUAACUGUGGGCGUGCGGGCGAUACGGGCAGACUAGAGUACUGCAGGGGAGACUGGAAUUCCUGGUGUAGCGGUGGAAUGCGCAGAUAUCAGGAGGAACACCGGUGGCGAAGGCGGGUCUCUGGGCAGUAACUGACGCUGGGGAGCGAAAGCGUGGGUAGCGAACAGGAUUAGAUACCCUGGUAGUCCAA
This 773-nucleotide ribosomal RNA is filed under the name uncultured bacterium. RNAcentral describes it as "bacterial SSU rRNA". It matches the Rfam family "Bacterial small subunit ribosomal RNA", at positions 8 to 798 of the family's 1533-position model. The record is from RNAcentral.